AUUGAACGCUGGCGGCAGGCCUAACACAUGCAAGUCGAGCGGAGCGGCGGACGGGCGAGUAAUGCCUAGGAAUCUGCCUGGUCGUGUGGGAUCACGUCCGGAAACGGGCGCUAAUUCCGCAUCUUAUCAGAUGAGCCUAGGUCGGAUUAGCUAGUUGGUGGGGUAAAUGCCUACCAAGGCGACGAUCCGUAACUGGUUUGAGAGGCUGAUCCGUCACACUGGAACUGAGACACGGUCCAGGCUCGUACGGGAGGCAGCAGUGGGGAAUAUUGGACAAUGGGCGAAAGCCUGAUCCAGCCAUGCCGCGUGUGUGAAGAAGGUCUUCGGAUUGUAAAGCACUUUAAGUUGGGAGGCGUUACCAACAGAAUAAGCACCGGCUAACUUCGUGCCAGCAGCCACGGUAAUUC
RNAcentral lists this ribosomal RNA (407 nucleotides) under uncultured bacterium. Its description in RNAcentral is "partial 16S ribosomal RNA". It matches the Rfam family "Bacterial small subunit ribosomal RNA", at positions 30 to 526 of the family's 1533-position model. The record is from RNAcentral.